GCCACAGUCAAAGAUGGAGAAUCCAUGGUGCCACUUUCCCGGUGAUCCCGGUGGGGGAAGGGGUUGCCGCCCGGCAGAGAUUCAGUCCCGAAUCCCGACAGCGAAGAGACUUGUAUGCCACCUGCAGGCCGGGGAGCGGGGCGCGCUGGGGCUGCACCACCCCGAACUUUGUAACAAUCUAGAGCACCACAGAGUGUUUCCAGGUCGGCACAAAAGCGAACGGGACAGGGCGCCCUGGGCGGCGGCAGCUUGGCCGGCCCGCUGCCUAGCGCGCCCCCGAGGGGCGGUAAUGGAACGUACCUUUGGCUGAAGAAAGAGUGCUCCCGGCCAGCGCGGGGUCGCCUAGGGGGUUCCGCGCUGCCUAAUGCAAAGGAUGGAAAAGUUACAGAAGCAGAGAUGGGUUUCAGCAGCCCAGGCUGGUCUCGAACUCCUGGACUCAAGUGAUUGGCCCUCCUCGGCCUCCCAAAGUCCUGGGAUUACAAGCGUGAGCCACCAUGCUCAGUUGGCGGGGGAUUAUCUGUGAUCCAAUGAAGUUGGACUAGAGAUGUGAAGCCUUAGAAAACGGUGGAUUGAAAAAAGAAUUUUAGUCUCCUCCAGAGAUUAUAUUUUGUGUGUUCAUUGCUCUCAAAAACAUGAAAAUAAAGAGUAUUUUAUAUUGU
Molecule: long non-coding RNA, 659 nt
Filed under: Homo sapiens (human)
Lineage: Eukaryota; Metazoa; Chordata; Mammalia; Primates; Hominidae
Description: HSALNT0308581
Source: RNAcentral